AUUGAACGCUGGCGGCAGGCCUAACACAUGCAAGUCGAGCGGCAGCGACUUAACUGAACCUUCGGGGAACGUUAAGGGCGGCGAGCGGCGGACGGGUGAGUAAUGCCUGGGAAUAUGCCCUGAUGUGGGGGAUAACUAUUGGAAACGAUAGCUAAUACCGCAUGAUCUCUUCGGAGCAAAGAGGGGGACCUUCGGGCCUCUCGCGUCAGGAUUAGCCCAGGUGGGAUUAGCUUGUUGGUGAGGUAAUGGCUCACCAAGGCAACGAUCCCUAGCUGGUCUGAGAGGAUGAUCAGCCACACUGGAACUGAGACACGGUCCAGACUCCUACGGGAGGCAGCAGUGGGGAAUAUUGCACAAUGGGGGAAACCCUGAUGCAGCCAUGCCGCGUGUGUGAAGAAGGCCUUCGGGUUGUAAAGCACUUUCAGUAGGGAGGAAGGUAGUGUAGUUAACACCUGCAUUAUUUGACGUUACCUACAGAAGAAGCACCGGCUAACUCCGUGCCAGCAGCCGCGGUAAUACGGAGGGUGCGAGCGUUAAUCGGAAUUACUGGGCGUAAAGCGCAUGCAGGCGGCCUGUUAAGUCAGAUGUGAAAGCCCGGGGCUUAACCUCGGAAUUGCAUUUGAAACUGGCAGGCUAGAGUCUUGUAGAGGGGGGUAGAAUUUCAGGUGUAGCGGUGAAAUGCGUAGAGAUCUGAAGGAAUACCAGUGGCGAAGGCGGCCCCCUGGACAAAGACUGACGCUCAGAUGCGAAAGCGUGGGGAGCAAACAGG
Molecule: ribosomal RNA, 769 nt
Filed under: uncultured bacterium
Lineage: Bacteria
Description: bacterial SSU rRNA
Rfam family: Bacterial small subunit ribosomal RNA
Source: RNAcentral